Molecule: ribosomal RNA, 495 nt
Filed under: uncultured bacterium
Lineage: Bacteria
Description: partial 16S ribosomal RNA
Rfam family: Bacterial small subunit ribosomal RNA
Source: RNAcentral
GACGAACGCUGGCGGCGUGCCUAAUACAUGCAAGUCGAACGCUGAAGGAGGAGCUUGCUUCUCUGGAUGAGUUGCGAACGGGUGAGUAACGCGUAGGUAACCUGCCUGGUAGCGGGGGAUAACUAUUGGAAGCGAUAGCUAAUACCGCAUAACAGUAGAUAUCGCAUGAUAUCUACUUGAAAGGUGCAAUUGCAUCACUACCAGAUGGACCUGCGUUGUAUUAGCUAGUUGGUGAGGUAACGGCUCACCAAGGCGACGAUACAUAGCCGACCUGAGAGGGUGAUCGGCCACACUGGGACUGAGACACGGCCCAGACUCCUACGGGAGGCAGCAGUAGGGAAUCUUCGGCAAUGGACGGAAGUCUGACCGAGCAACGCCGCGUGAGUGAAGAAGGUUUUCGGAUCGUAAAGCUCUGUUGUAAGAGAAGAACGAGUGUGAGAGUGGAAAGUUCACACUGUGACGGUAUCUUACCAGAAAGGGACGGCUAACUACGUG